GUGAGUCAUCGAAUCUUUGAACGCACAUUGCGCCCGCUAGUAUUCUAGCGGGCAUGCCUGUUCGAGCGUCAUUUCAACCCUCAAGCACUGCUUGGUGUUGGGGCCCUACAGCUUCUGUAGGCCCUGAAAACUAGUGGCGGGCUCGCUAUAACUCCGAGCGUAGUAGUAAUAUCUCGCUUAGGAUGUGAUGGCGGGAUCCGGCCGUUAAACCCCCUAAUUUUCUGAAUGUUGACCUCGGAUCAGGUAGGAAUACCCGCUGAACUUAAGCAUAUCAAUAAGCGGAGGA
RNAcentral lists this unclassified non-coding RNA (286 nucleotides) under Cordana sp. RNAcentral describes it as "partial contains 5.8S ribosomal RNA, internal transcribed spacer 2, and large subunit ribosomal RNA". The stretch from base 1 to 71 matches the Rfam family "5.8S ribosomal RNA", at positions 84 to 154 of the family's 154-position model. Lineage: Eukaryota; Fungi; Ascomycota; Sordariomycetes; Coniochaetales; Cordanaceae. The record is from RNAcentral.